This 1004-nucleotide long non-coding RNA is filed under the name Cyanistes caeruleus (blue tit). RNAcentral describes it as "lncRNA (ENSCCEG00000009371.1)". Lineage: Eukaryota; Metazoa; Chordata; Aves; Passeriformes; Paridae. The record is from RNAcentral.
AUGAAUUUCCUGCGGGGCGACGUGGCCCGGCUGCGGCGCGCGGCCAACGAGGCCUCGGGGGCCACCGGGGCCACCCCUGGGGCCACCAACGUCACCUCGGGGGCCACCAACGUCACUGGGGCUACCAAUGAGACUUCUGGGGCCGCCAACGUCACUGGGGCUACCAAUGAGACCUCUGGGGCCACCAACGUCACUGGGGCCACCAACGUCACCUCGGGGGCCACCAACAUCACUGGGGCUACCAAUGAGACUUCUGGGGCCACCAACGUCACUGGGGCCACCAAUGAGACUUCUGGGGCCACCAAUGUCACUGGGGCCACCAACGAGGCUUUGGAGGCCACCAAUGAGAUCUUGAGGGCCACCAACAUCACCAGGGCCACCAACGAGGCCUCUUGGGCCACCAAGGGCACCCCCGGGGCCACCAAGGCGAUGGAAUCGUGGGGAAAGUCAACGGGAGCCAACCGGAACUCAACGGAACCCUUGGAGAACCCAACGGAACCUUCAGAGAACCCAAUGGAAUCCAAGGAGAACCCAAUGGAACCCACGGAGAACCCAACGGAACCCUUGGAGAACUCAACGGAACCUUUGGAGAACCCAAUGGAAUCCAAGGAGAACCCAACGGAAUCCAAGGAGAACCCAAUGGAACCUUCAGAGAACCCAAUGGAACCUUUGGAGAACCCAACAGAACCCAUGGAGAACCCAACGGAAUCCAAGGAGAACCCAAUGGAACCCUUGGAGAACUCAACGGAACCCUUGGAGAAUCCACCCAGACCCAACCAGAACCCAACCAAACCCCACCAGAACCCAAUGGAACCCAACCAGAACCCAACCAAACCCCACCAGAACCCACCAGAACCUCGGAACCCAUCCAAACCCCACCAGAACCCAAUGGAAUCCCACCAGAACCCACCAGAACCCCGCCAGACCCCACCAGAACCCCACCAGAACCCACCCAGAACCCACCAGAACCCAACCAACGCUCAGAACCCACCGGAACCCAACCA